Molecule: ribosomal RNA, 468 nt
Filed under: uncultured bacterium
Lineage: Bacteria
Description: partial 16S ribosomal RNA
Rfam family: Bacterial small subunit ribosomal RNA
Source: RNAcentral
GACGAACGCUGGCGGCGUGCUUAACACAUGCAAGUCGAACGGAAAGGCCCUGCUUUUGUGGGGUGCUCGAGUGGCGAACGGGUGAGUAACACGUGAGUAACCUGCCCUUGACUUUGGGAUAACUUCAGGAAACUGGGGCUAAUACCGGAUAGGAGCUCCUGCUGCAUGGUGGGGGUUGGAAAGUUUCGGCGGUUGGGGAUGGACUCGCGGCUUAUCAGCUUGUUGGUGGGGUAGUGGCUUACCAAGGUUUUGACGGGUAGCCGGCCUGAGAGGGUGACCGGCCACAUUGGGACUAAGAUACGGCCCAGAAUCCUACGGGAGGCAGCAGUGGGGAAUAUUGCACAAUGGGCGGAAGCCUGAUGCAGCAACGCCGCGUGCGGGAUGACGGCCUUCGGGUUGUAAACCGCUUUCGCCUGUGACGAAGCGUGAGUGACGGUAAUGGGUAAAGAAGCACCGGCUAACUACGUG